RNAcentral lists this ribosomal RNA (497 nucleotides) under uncultured bacterium. RNAcentral's name for it is "partial 16S ribosomal RNA". It matches the Rfam family "Bacterial small subunit ribosomal RNA", at positions 28 to 507 of the family's 1533-position model. The record is from RNAcentral.
GAUGAACGCUGGCGGCGUGCCUAAUACAUGCAAGUCGAGCGAACAGACGAGGAGCUUGCUCCUCUGACGUUAGCGGCGGACGGGUGAGUAACACGUGGAUAACCUACCUAUAAGACUGGGAUAACUUCGGGAAACCGGAGCUAAUACCGGAUAAUAUAUUGAACCGCAUGGUUCAAUAGUGAAAGACGGUUUUGCUGUCACUUAUAGAUGGAUCCGCGCCGCAUUAGCUAGUUGGUAAGGUAACGGCUUACCAAGGCAACGAUGCGUAGCCGACCUGAGAGGGUGAUCGGCCACACUGGAACUGAGACGCGGUCCAGACUCCUAGGGGAGGCAGCAGUAGGGAAUCUUCCGCAAUGGGCGAAAGCCUGACGGAGCAACGCCGCGUGAGUGAUGAAGGUCUUCGGAUCGUAAAACUCUGUUAUUAGGGAAGAACAAAUGUGUAAGUAACCAUGCACGUCUUGACGGUACCUAAUCAGAAAGCCACGGCUAACUACGUG